UACGGGGGGAGCAAGCGUUGUUCGGAUUUAUUGGGCGUAAAGAGCGUGUAGGCGGCCAGACAGGUCCGUUGUGAAAACUCGAGGCUCAACCUCGAGAUGUCGAUGGAAACCGUCUGGCUAGAGUCCGGAAGAGGAGUGUGGAAUUCCUGGUGUAGCGGUGAAAUGCGCAGAUAUCAGGAAGAACACCUAUGGCGAAGGCAGCACUCUGGGACGGUACUGACGCUGAGACGCGAAAGCGUGGGGAGCGAACAGG
This 253-nucleotide ribosomal RNA is filed under the name uncultured bacterium. RNAcentral describes it as "partial 16S ribosomal RNA". It matches the Rfam family "Bacterial small subunit ribosomal RNA", at positions 524 to 776 of the family's 1533-position model. The record is from RNAcentral.